UACGGGGGGGGCAAGCGUUGUUCGGAAUUACUGGGCGUAAAGGGCGCGUAGGCGGCCUACUAAGUCGGACGUGAAAGCCCUCGGCUCAACCGAGGAACUGCGCUUCAAACUGUAGAACUAGAGGGAGAUAGAGGUGAGCAGAACUGAUGGUGGAGCGGUGAAAUGCGUUGAUAUCAUCAGGAAUACCGGAGGCGAAGGCGGCUCACUGGGUCUCUUCUGACGCUGAGGAACGAAAGCUAGGGGAGCAAACGGG
RNAcentral lists this ribosomal RNA (253 nucleotides) under uncultured bacterium. Its description in RNAcentral is "partial 16S ribosomal RNA". It matches the Rfam family "Bacterial small subunit ribosomal RNA", at positions 524 to 776 of the family's 1533-position model. The record is from RNAcentral.